AUUGGAAGGUCAAUCUUAAAUGCUGUAUAGGAGGAUCUCAUUGAGAAGAUAUCAUUUGAGCAAAGAUGUAAAGCAAGGGAGGGAAUGAGUCAGUGGCUACAUAGCGAGAGUGUCCUAGGCAGAGGAAACAGCUUCUACAAAAGCCCUGAAGCAAGAGAAUGUUUGAAGUGUUCAAGAAUAAACAGGAGAUGCAGAAUGAAUGGAAUUGAGAGUGAGUGAGGCAGUCGGAUACAAGAGAGACUAAUAUGGGGCAGCACUGAAGACUGCUGACAGCAGCCACAUGAGUGAGCUCAGAGUGGACACAACAGCCCCUUCAGAGGCUGCAGGGAUGGCAGACAGCCUGACUGCAAUGUCGUGAAAGAUGCUGAGGCAGAACCAUGCAGCAAAGUCAUUCCCAGAUUCCUGACUCUCAGAAAAUAACUCACACCCUUCAACACUGGUCCACCCUGGAAGUUGGAAAGAAAUAUCUUCACUGACAUGAGAACAACAUAUUUGCCUAAUGUUUGUCAUUUUUAUUUUAAAAAACACAUUUCCUUCAUGUGCAAUUUUAAAUUAUAAUUGGAUGUAUAAUAUCUCGAGACCCUGGCUUUUUCUUUAAGCACAAUUUCUCCUUUUUUAUUACAUAAAAAGUAAUGAGAAAAAUAGAUAUUCAUUCGACAAAAGAAUGUUCAAGCCUAGUUACUUAAUGAGCCUUUAUUUGCAUUUGGACCCUAAAAUUAUCCCAUCCCUUCACUCCAUGUAUCCUGUAUUUCUGAUUUUCCUCUAAGAACCAGGACUCAAUUCCUGCUCCAUGACUACAUUUGGAACUUCACUGCUGAGUUUCCGGUUCUGCUAGAGCUUCCAAGAAUGGUGGGCUAAAGUCCCUUUCCUCGAUAAUCUCAUUUCUCAUGGUUUUCUACUUAAAGCAAUACUGUCUAUGAAGUGCAACCUGGCUCUUCCUUCUCCCGUAAUCAUUGCCUCUCUGGAUUUUCCUUCUUCCAAGACUCCCUUUCCUGAUUCCCUUUAACACCCCUUUCAUAAUUCACAUCCAGAGAGUUCUCUGCAAUCACCUACCCAUCCCAAUCUCCAUUAUUUAUUUCAUGUUAUUACCUUUCACAAUUCAUAUAGUAAAUGUUACUUAGAACAGAGGCUGCUCUAGUGUUUCAUUGAUUUGUCUCAUUUUAUUUCUGGUCAUUGAAUGGCACAGUGAUAUCACAUGAGGUUGGACAGAGUUAUUUUCCAUCGCCAUCAUAAAGCUUUAUGACUAUAAGUGGGUUUGUCUUUUACCAGUUCACUGUCUUCCUCUAAAGAUGGUCUCUCCUAUCUCUUGCGUAGGACGCACUAAUCACUAAUGUCCCACAGAAGGAUAUCCUGAGCUGUCCUUGGAGCCAUUUGGCAUGGAACCUUACAGAGUGCCCCUACCCUCUGUGCCUGGCUUCCAUCCUCCUGACUCUUUGUGACUUUCAGAUCUUAAAACUAAAAUCAGGUGCAACACUUAACCUCCAGAGGAAUAAUCUGUGGCUCUUACACGGAGAUGAUUGAUAAACACUUUCCCCUCUCUUUUCUUAUGUUUGUUUUCUUAAUUAGAUUUAUUGUUUUUCUAUUCUCUCCUCUCCCUCAAGGUACAUGUGCACACGUAUCCACUCCCGCAAUGUGGCAAAGGCUUGGAAAGGUACCCUUCCCCAGCCUUCCUCCCCAGACUCUAACCUCUUUGAAAUGGGCAGGAAGGAGAAGUUCUCUUUGAUGUUCAUUUGAAUGUGC
Molecule: long non-coding RNA, 1740 nt
Filed under: Homo sapiens (human)
Lineage: Eukaryota; Metazoa; Chordata; Mammalia; Primates; Hominidae
Description: HSALNT0314072
Source: RNAcentral